RNAcentral lists this ribosomal RNA (558 nucleotides) under uncultured archaeon. RNAcentral's name for it is "bacterial SSU rRNA". It matches the Rfam family "Archaeal small subunit ribosomal RNA", at positions 296 to 871 of the family's 1478-position model. The record is from RNAcentral.
GGGCAUUGAACAAGGGCCAGGCCUAUGGGCCACAGGCCGUACCUCUCAAUAGCGAAAGCUGACAGGUUACUCUGAGUGAUGUCCGCUAAGGCAUCUUUUGGCACUUCUAAAAAUAGUGUAGAAUAAGGGGUGGGCAAGUCUGGUGUCAGCCGCCGCGGUAAUACCAGCACCCCGAGUGGUCGGGACGAUUAUUGGGCCUAAAGCAUCCGUAGCCGGUUCUGCAAGUCUUCCGUUAAAUCCACCUGCUCAACAGAUGGGCUGCGGAGGAUACGACAGGGCUAGGAGGCGGGAGAGGCAAGCGGUACUCAGUGGGUAGGGGUAAAAUCCUCUGAUCCACCGAAGACCACCAGCGGCGAAGGCGGCUUGCCAGAACGCGCUCGACGGUGAGGGAUGAAAGCUGGGGGAGCAAACCGGAUUAGAUACCCGGGUAGUCCCAGCUGUAAACGAUGCAGACUCGGUGAUGGGUUGGCUUCGAGCCAACCCAGUGCCGCAGGGAAGCCGUUAAGUCUGCCGCCUGGGGAGUACGGUCGCAAGACUGAAACUCAAAUGAAUUGACGG